AGUGCUCGCUCCUGCUCGGGGCGCUGCGGCCCCGGGCGUCGCCAUGACCAGCGAGCUGGACAUCUUCGUGGGGAACACGACACUUAUCGACGAGGACGUGUAUCGCCUCUGGCUCGAUGGUUACUCGGUGACCGACGCGGUGGCCCUGCGGGUGCGCUCGGGAAUCCUGGAGCAGACGGGCGCCACGGCAGCGGUGCUGCAGAGCGACACCAUGGACCAUUACCGCACCUUCCACAUGCUCGAGCGGCUGCUGCACGCGCCGCCCAAGCUACUGCACCAGCUCAUCUUCCAGAUUCCGCCCUCCCGGCAGGCACUACUCAUCGAGAGGUACUAUGCCUUUGAUGAGGCCUUUGUUCGGGAGGUGCUGGGCAAGAAGCUGUCCAAAGGCACCAAGAAAGACCUGGAUGACAUCAGCACCAAAACAGGCAUCACCCUCAAGAGCUGCCGGAGACAGUUUGACAACUUUAAGCGGGUCUUCAAGGUGGUAGAGGAAAUGCGGGGCUCCCUGGUGGACAAUAUUCAGCAACACUUCCUCCUCUCUGACCGGUUGGCCAGGCUGGAAUGCAAUGGUGCAAUCUCGGCUCACU
RNAcentral lists this small RNA (587 nucleotides) under Pongo abelii (Sumatran orangutan). RNAcentral describes it as "processed transcript". Lineage: Eukaryota; Metazoa; Chordata; Mammalia; Primates; Hominidae. The record is from RNAcentral.